AGCUUGCUGGAUGCUGACGAGCGGCGGACGGGUGAGUAACGCAUAGGAAUCUACCCGGUAGUGGGGGAUAACCUGGGGAAACCCAGGCUAAUACCGCAUACGUCCUACGGGAGAAAGGGGGCUUUGGCUCCCGCUAUCGGAUGAGCCUAUGCCGGAUUAGCUGGUUGGUGAGGUAAUGGCUCACCAAGGCGACGAUCCGUAGCUGGUCUGAGAGGAUGAUCAGCCACAUCGGGACUGAGACACGGCCCGAACUCCUACGGGAGGCAGCAGUGGGGAAUAUUGGACAAUGGGGGCAACCCUGAUCCAGCCAUGCCGCGUGUGUGAAGAAGGCCCUCGGGUUGUAAAGCACUUUCAGCGAGGAAGAACGCCUAUCGGUUAAUACCCGGUAGGAAAGACAUCACUCGCAGAAGAAGCACCGGCUAACUCCGUGCCAGCAGCCGCGGUAAUACGGAGGGUGCAAGCGUUAAUCGGAAUUACUGGGCGUAAAGCGCGCGUAGGUGGCUUGAUAAGCCGGUUGUGAAAGCCCCGGGCUCAACCUGGGAACGGCAUCCGGAACUAUCAGGCUAGAGUGCAGGAGAGGAAGGUAGAAUUCCCGGUGUAGCGGUGAAAUGCGUAGAGAUCGGGAGGAAUACCAGUGGCGAAGGCGGCCUUCUGGACUGACACUGACACUGAGGUGCGAAAGCGUGGGUAGCAAACAGGA
Molecule: ribosomal RNA, 700 nt
Filed under: Halomonas sp. SY1
Lineage: Bacteria; Pseudomonadati; Pseudomonadota; Gammaproteobacteria; Oceanospirillales; Halomonadaceae
Description: bacterial SSU rRNA
Rfam family: Bacterial small subunit ribosomal RNA
Source: RNAcentral